RNAcentral lists this ribosomal RNA (279 nucleotides) under uncultured bacterium. RNAcentral describes it as "partial 16S ribosomal RNA". It matches the Rfam family "Bacterial small subunit ribosomal RNA", at positions 75 to 353 of the family's 1533-position model. The record is from RNAcentral.
CUUGCUUUCUUUGCUGGCGACCGGCGCACGGGUGAGUAACACGUAUCCAACCUACCCCUUACUCGGGGAUAGCCUUUCGAAAGAAAGAUUAAUACCCGAUAGCAUAAUGAUUCCGCAUGGUUUCAUUAUUAAAGGAUUCCGGUAAAGGAUGGGGAUGCGUUCCAUUAGGUUGUUGGUGAGGUAACGGCUCACCAAGCCUUCGAUGGAUAGGGGUUCUGAGAGGAAGGUCCCCCACAUUGGAACUGAGACACGGUCCAAACUCCUACGGGAGGCAGCAUG